UACGUAGGGUGCGAGCGUUGUCCGGAAUCAUUGGGCGUAAAGAGCGUGUAGGCGGCCCCUUAAGUCCUGCGUGAAAUCCUGCGGCUCAACCGCAGACGGUCGUGGGAAACUGGAGGGCUAGAGUGCGGGAGAGGAGAGUGGAAUUCCCGGUGUAGCGGUGAAAUGCGCAGAUAUCGGGAAGAACACCAGUGGCGAAGGCGGGUCUCUGGGCCGAUACUGACGCUGAGGAGCGAAAGCGUGGGGAGCGAACAGG
This 253-nucleotide ribosomal RNA is filed under the name uncultured bacterium. Its description in RNAcentral is "partial 16S ribosomal RNA". It matches the Rfam family "Bacterial small subunit ribosomal RNA", at positions 524 to 776 of the family's 1533-position model. The record is from RNAcentral.